ACAAGUGGCGGCGGUGGUGGCGCACGAGGGAUGUUGGUGUGGCCCAGCAUCGUUGCUCUUUCAUUAGGAACAUUUUGUCGGUUUAUCACUUCUCUUUAACUCCGUCUUUACAAAAAAGUAUAUACUUUGAAGAGUAGAUAAAUAUAGGGAGAAAUAUAUAAUAAAAAGAAGUUAUAAUAAGUGUACGGUGUGCUCUGCUGAGCGGUCGCCCGUUAUACGAAUCAUUGUUGAAUUAAUUCUUAAUAAUAGGUACGAACAUAAAUAAUAACGUGAUAAUGGCGCUAAACCCGAUGUAUCGGGAGAUCGGCGAAGGUUUCGUCAAGCAGUAUUAUCAGUUAUUCGACGACCCGGUUCAGAGGCCAAGCCUUAUAAACAUGUACAACGAGCAAACGUCGUUCAUGUCGUUCGAGGGAUUGCAGCUCCAGGGUGCUGCUAAGAUAAUGGACAAACUCAAUAGUCUGCCGUUCCAAAACAUCACUAGAGUCAUAACGACCAUAGAUUGUCAACCAAUGUUCGACGGUGGAGUUCUAAUUAAAGUGCUAGGAAGGCUGAAGACCGAUGAGGAUCAGCCCCAUGCGUACACCCAGACAUUUGUUCUGAAGCCGAUUGGCACCAGCUUUUUCGUGCAGCACGACGUCUUCAGACUCGCGUUGCACGACAGCGCCUAAGGUGGUUAAACGACAGUGUCGAUCGUUGUGGCGAAUCUUCCUGAAUCGUGGCGGAUGACGAUCCACCUCAUCCAUUCUCGCAGAUAUUCGUGUUGUCGCCGUUGGCGAACUCAUACUUCUGUCAGCACGAUAUCUUCCGUCUCGGUAUCCACAACUCUGAGUAAAAAGUGAAGUAAAAAUUUUGUAAUAUUCACAAUCACUUGUCAAGAACAGAGAACAUAAUAAAACGAAAAGGACGUUUUGAGGUUCGUCGAUUGAGCGGUAAAACGAAUAACAGAUAAUAUUAAACGAGCCACGGUAAUCCUUCAACGAUCCAUAAUAAUGAAUUUGCAAGAAAUUAAAUGAAAAAAUAAAAUAAAAUAAACAAAUAAACGCGAAAGAGAAUCGAGUGAGCUUUAAAAAAAUGUUUGCCUAUCUUCUAUCCUAUUCGCUUCAUAAUCUCUCAUUAGAUUACAGCCAACAUUUGUUUUUUUCAUACAGCAAGAGAAGAAGGAAAUAUGAAAUCCAAAUCCUUUGGUGAAACAAAAAGCAACUAACGAAAAAUCCACAAAUUAUUACUUCAUUAUAUACUGCUACUAAUUCUUCAAUUUUAAUUCACGUGAUGAAAUUCAAUACUAAUUCAUAUGCAUAUGCGCUAACGUAGGAUGGCUACAAACAAAAAUAAUUACCAGGCACAACAAUAGACCCGAACUAUACAUACUAAAGCGCGAUGAAAAAACACGCGCGCGUCCAGUCCGCUGACUACCAUCCAAACACGAUGAUCCGCGGCUUCCUCGAUAUCUGCCUCGACGCGCGACAAAUCAUUCGAAACGAUCAAACGUAUGUAACAUAUUUUAUAAUUACUCGAUGCUCUGUAUUUUUGUAACUUAAGAGUUGAAUGUUAAAUACACAAUGUAACAGAAAAAGUA
RNA transcript from Venturia canescens, 1576 nucleotides. It is a transcript of the gene named nuclear transport factor-2, with no coding region annotated. The record is from RefSeq and is a predicted model, not a curated record. The transcript has 5 exons. NCBI's taxonomy places the organism in Eukaryota, Metazoa, Arthropoda, Insecta, Hymenoptera, Ichneumonidae.